This 1163-nucleotide ribosomal RNA is filed under the name Staphylococcus aureus. Its description in RNAcentral is "bacterial SSU rRNA". It matches the Rfam family "Bacterial small subunit ribosomal RNA", at positions 1 to 1144 of the family's 1533-position model. Lineage: Bacteria; Bacillati; Bacillota; Bacilli; Caryophanales; Staphylococcaceae. The record is from RNAcentral.
UUUUAUGGAGAGUUUGAUCCUGGCUCAGGAUGAACGCUGGCGGCGUGCCUAAUACAUGCAAGUCGAGCGAACGGACGAGAAGCUUGCUUCUCUGAUGUUAGCGGCGGACGGGUGAGUAACACGUGGAUAACCUACCUAUAAGACUGGGAUAACUUCGGGAAACCGGAGCUAAUACCGGAUAAUAUUUUGAACCGCAUGGUUCAAAAGUGAAAGACGGUCUUGCUGUCACUUAUAGAUGGAUCCGCGCUGCAUUAGCUAGUUGGUAAGGUAACGGCUUACCAAGGCAACGAUGCAUAGCCGACCUGAGAGGGUGAUCGGCCACACUGGAACUGAGACACGGUCCAGACUCCUACGGGAGGCAGCAGUAGGGAAUCUUCCGCAAUGGGCGAAAGCCUGACGGAGCAACGCCGCGUGAGUGAUGAAGGUCUUCGGAUCGUAAAACUCUGUUAUUAGGGAAGAACAUAUGUGUAAGUAACUGUGCACAUCUUGACGGUACCUAAUCAGAAAGCCACGGCUAACUACGUGCCAGCAGCCGCGGUAAUACGUAGGUGGCAAGCGUUAUCCGGAAUUAUUGGGCGUAAAGCGCGCGUAGGCGGUUUUUUAAGUCUGAUGUGAAAGCCCACGGCUCAACCGUGGAGGGUCAUUGGAAACUGGAAAACUUGAGUGCAGAAGAGGAAAGUGGAAUUCCAUGUGUAGCGGUGAAAUGCGCAGAGAUAUGGAGGAACACCAGUGGCGAAGGCGACUUUCUGGUCUGUAACUGACGCUGAUGUGCGAAAGCGUGGGGAUCAAACAGGAUUAGAUACCCUGGUAGUCCACGCCGUAAACGAUGAGUGCUAAGUGUUAGGGGGUUUCCGCCCCUUAGUGCUGCAGCUAACGCAUUAAGCACUCCGCCUGGGGAGUACGACCGCAAGGUUGAAACUCAAAGGAAUUGACGGGGACCCGCACAAGCGGUGGAGCAUGUGGUUUAAUUCGAAGCAACGCGAAGAACCUUACCAAAUCUUGACAUCCUUUGACAACUCUAGAGAUAGAGCCUUCCCCUUCGGGGGACAAAGUGACAGGUGGUGCAUGGUUGUCGUCAGCUCGUGUCGUGAGAUGUUGGGUUAAGUCCCGCAACGAGCGCAACCCUUAAGCUUAGUUGCCAUCAUUAAGUUGGGCACUCUAAG